GGAGCACUAUGAUGUCCAGGGCC
RNAcentral lists this non-coding RNA (23 nucleotides) under Arabidopsis thaliana (thale cress). Lineage: Eukaryota; Viridiplantae; Streptophyta; Magnoliopsida; Brassicales; Brassicaceae. The record is from RNAcentral.